Trematomus bernacchii (emerald rockcod) is the source of this 2472-nucleotide long non-coding RNA. RefSeq lists it as uncharacterized. NCBI's taxonomy places the organism in Eukaryota, Metazoa, Chordata, Actinopteri, Perciformes, Nototheniidae. The transcript is spliced from 4 exons. The record is from RefSeq and is a predicted model, not a curated record.
GCACAUUUUUAUUUCAUCUUAACGCUGUGUGAUUAAAAGAAUAAACACAAAUAGCAGGAUAGGCACACAUAUGUGCUAUAUCUUUCCCCACUGCAAAGGCACUGCACCGAUACUGUUAACAUAUUGGCAUAGUUCAUCUCUGUGCUGCUUGGCUCGAGCUGUAGCAUGUCGCUAUUUGUUGUUUGUAUAUAUCACGCAGUCUGUCUUCUGGUUGCCUCUUUUGAAUGACGAAUACACACUACCGCCGCCUGCUGGUAAGGAGAGUUAUUGCCACUCACGCAUGCGCAGUGCGUACGUGCUACUUGGCCGUCGGCUGAAGUCUUUGCGGUGUGUUCCAGUGUGACUGUUUGGCCAAGACGCAGGAGACGUGAGGCGACACAACAGUCGGGUCCGUCGGGACGUGUUCUUUGGUGUUUGUUUGGUGUGUAGGGCCUUUAGGGUUUGAGAGGUGUUUACCUGAUGGUUUCAGAGGUGUUUACCUGAUGGUUUCAGAGGUGUUUACCUGAUGGUUUCAGAGGUGUUUACCUGAUGGUUUCAGAGGUGUUUACCUGAUGGUUUCAGAGGUGUUUACCUGAUGGUUUCAGAGGUGUUUACCUGAUGGUUUCAGAGGUGUUUACCUGAUGGUUUCAGAGGUGUUUACCUGAUGGUUUCAGAGGUGUUUACCUGAUGGUUUCAGAGGUGUUUCAGAGGUGUUUACCUGAUGGUUUCAGAGGUGUUUCAGAGGUGUUUCAGAGGUGUUUACCUGAUGGUUUCAGAGGUGUUUCAGAGGUGUUUACCUGAUGGUUUCAGAGGUGUUUCAGAGGUGUUUACCUGAUGGUUUCAGAGGUGUUUCAGAGGUGUUUACCUGAUGGUUUCAGAGGUGUUUACCUGAUGGUUUCAGAGGUGUUUCAGAGGUGUUUCAGAGGUGUUUCAGAGGUGUUUCAGAGGUGUUUCAGAGGUGUUUCAGAGGUGUUUACCUGAUGGUUUCAGAGGUGUUUCAGAGGUGUUUACCUGAUGGUUUCAGAGGUGUUUACCUGAUGGUUUCAGAGGUGUUUCAGAGGUGUUUACCUGAUGGUUUCAGAGGUGUUUCAGAGGUGUUUCAGAGGUGUUUACCUGAUGGUUUCAGAGGUGUUUCAGAGGUGUUUACCUGAUGGUUUCAGAGGUGUUUCAGAGGUGUUUACCUGAUGGUUUCAGAGGUGUUUCAGAGGUGUUUCAGAGGUGUUUACCUGAUGGUUUCAGAGGUGUUUACCUGAUGGUUUCAGAGGUGUUUCAGAGGUGUUUCAGAGGUGUUUCAGAGGUGUUUACCUGAUGGUUUCAGAGGUGUUUCAGAGGUGUUUACCUGAUGGUUUCAGAGGUGUUUACCUGAUGGUUUCAGAGGUGUUUACCUGAUGGUUUCAGAGGUGUUUCAGAGGUGUUUACCUGAUGGUUUCAGAGGUGUUUCAGAGGUGUUUCAGAGGUGUUUACCUGAUGGUUUCAGAGGUGUUUACCUGAUGGUUUCAGAGGUGUUUCAGAGGUGUUUCAGAGGUGUUUCAGAGGUGUUUACCUGAUGGUUUCAGAGGUGUUUCAGAGGUGUUUACCUGAUGGUUUCAGAGGUGUUUACCUGAUGGUUUCAGACGUGUUUACCUGAUGGUUUCAGAGGUGUUUCAGAGGUGUUUCAGAGGUGUUUCAGAGGUGUUUACCUGAUGGUUUCAGAGGUGUUUACCUGAUGGUUUCAGAGGUGUUUCAGAGGUGUUUCAGAGGUGUUUACCUGAUGGUUUCAGAGGUGUUUACCUGAUGGUUUCAGAGGUGUUUCAGAGGUACCUGAUGGUUUCAGAGGUGUUUACCUGAUGGUUUCAGAGGUGUUUACCUGAUGGUUUCAGAGGUGUUUACCUGAUGCUUGGAUCAGUGUUCUCCUCUGUUCUUCAGAGAGCCUGACUUGUUGCACCUUAAGCAUUUGGUACGGGAACAAAAACCUUCAAUAAAUAAAAAACCUUAUAGAGAAAGGCUGACUUCCUGUUGGGUUUGCGAUGUUCCUCCAAGAGGCUUUUCUGUACGUCUCAGCACGCUUCAUAUGUCCACCAAGUUUCAUACGUCUACUUCACCGUUAAAGAGGGGGGCUUUUACUUUGAGAACUGAAUGUGACCCGUCCCAGUGGUUCAGUGACCAUCAGUUAAUGCAUGUGUGUGUGCAGGUGUAUCUCACUAAUCCCCCGUGUCAACCGACCUGGUGAUAAACCUGAUUCUGAUUCUGUUGUUGAUUUAAUGUGUGAACGAUACAGAGAGGUGAAGCUGUCAUGUGUAACUGUUGGAGCGGUGAGCAGGCCGCUUGUUUCUGGGUAUUUAGGAGUCAGGUGGUCUGUGAGGGGUUUUAUUGGUUAAGAGGUCCUUGGUAUGAAAACGUUUGAGAACUGGAGAGGGAAUCUCCUUCUGUCUGCAUGUGGAUAGAUCCUGUUGGUGCACUUUUCACGCUGCUAUGGACGCUCUGCACUAAUGUACUUUUCCCAAAGAUAUUGAA